Molecule: long non-coding RNA, 1670 nt
Filed under: Vigna radiata
Lineage: Eukaryota; Viridiplantae; Streptophyta; Magnoliopsida; Fabales; Fabaceae
Description: long non-coding RNA (VRAD_LNC005721)
Source: RNAcentral
CAGGACUUGGGUUAGAGAUGAAAUUAUACACCAUAUUCCAACUUCAUUCUCUAUCAGUGGAAUCAAUCACUCACUAAAAUAUAACAUAUUUGGUCAAUAGUUCUCUUUAUCAAUAGGCAAUUGUGGUUUUCGGAUGUUCUAAUUAAUUAUAGAGAAAUGAAAUGAGGAUCAACUAGGCCAAAUUGUUCAUCAGUAAAAAAAAUGUACUUUUAAUGAUUAAUGCACAUAGAAAUUUAACCAACUCAUCUAAUAUUUCAUCUUUCAACCUCGGAAAAGAAGCAGACAAAAGUAAGUGAUGGUGGGGAAGGGGGUAAAUUAUACACAUCAAAUAAAUCAGUUCCUUAGUUUCUAAUAAUCCUAAAAUCCUACAAAACAUUGCUGCUAUGUAACUUCUCUCAGCAAUUCUUCAUGAUAGACCACAGACCAAAAAAACUUACAGUGUCCAAUGUUUAAGAAAAUUCAUUCGAUUAUUUUAUCUAAAGAAAUACAUAUCAUUCAAAUCCAACCAUCACAAGUUGGAAAAACUAAAGUCUAACAACAGGCACCAAUGCCACUGCAGAAAGAGAUUUUCAUAUUCAAUUUCAUUCAACGGAGUCAAAAUCCACUCAAAAGAUUAUAAAAACUAUAAAUGAACACAACUGAAUACACUUAACAAAAACACAUGCUAACCAACAACAGAGUUAUAAACCCACAUGAAAAUUGCAGCCCUGCUCAUAAAGAAAUAAUAAAUUACUCAACCAUGAUUAUAACUGCAUUUCUUUCUCCUAUGAAAAUUUGUACUAAAACGUUACUUCAUACUUCAUAAACAAUCACACUACACAGAAUCGUAAACCAAGAUGUUGUUUCCAUGUUUUCUUCUAUUUCCAACGGAAUAAAAACAUAACCAAAUAUUCCACCCAUACAACCAAAAUGGAAAACAGAGCACACAACACACAUAUCAUUCAUUAUUUUUAUUUGCCAAACAAAAUACCCCAAAUGCAGCAUUCCAAUCCCACUAAAUUCGAGGAUUCCAGUUUCUCCUCUUUAAGAACCCCAACAAAGGGUACAUCAAAUAGUUUAUUAGGAAAAUCUUUGUUAACUAGCCUUGGUAGAGUUUCAUUCUACAUGAUUCAUCUGUGAACCAUCAUCGCCCCUACCAUGGUCAUGAGCAACUAAUACAGUUCCAUUACUCACAUGCAGCCUUAGUAUUCUCUGGAUUAUAUGUUCCCUUUAGAGAAGUUUUCUUUGAAUCAUUAGAAUCUAAUCCUAAAACCCUUUCAUCGAUUGUUAUUUGACUUGGGAAGCUAAUCACAAAUAACAGGAACUGACACAAUGGUUGAAAUCUCUAGAACCAUACUGCUAAUUAUAAAAUAAGGGGAAAUGUUCACUAAAUAAGACUUGGAACCAACACUGCAUAAACACCACAACAAUAACACCAAAACCCUAACUACAAAACGCAACGAUAACCUUGCUGCAUCCUGGCGUCGUCUAGCUCGCCGGAGAUGCUGAUGAAUCCCCGGGCCACAACUGGGCCGAGCGAAGGUGGGGUCUGCAGAAGCGGAUUUCGCUCGCGUCCAAGAGCCCCCAGCAAAAUCGAGGAAGUUCCCCUUAAUGCUAAACCCUAACUACCAUAAGCAGAUGGGGCUGACGAACCCAGUCGUGAGAACGUGGUCGGGGCCAUUAUAAGUUUU